GAUGAACGCUGGCGGCGUGCUUAACACAUGCAAGUCGAACGGAAAGGCCAGUGCUUGCACUGGUACUCGAGUGGCGAACGGGUGAGUAGCACGUGGGUGAUCUGCCCUGCACUUCGGGAUAAGCCUGGGAAACUGGGUCUAAUACCGGAUAGGACAAUGGUUUGGAUGCCGUUGUGGAAAGUUUUUUCGGUGUGGGAUGAGCUCGCGGCCUAUCAGCUUGUUGGUGGGGUAAUGGCCUACCAAGGCGUCGACGGGUAGCCGGCCUGAGAGGGUGUACGGCCACAUUGGGACUGAGAUACGGCCCAGACUCCUACGGGAGGCAGCAGUGGGGAAUAUUGCACAAUGGGCGCAAGCCUGAUGCAGCGACGCCGCGUGGGGGAUGACGGCCUUCGGGUUGUAAACUCCUUUCGCUAGGGACGAAGCGUAUUUGUGACGGUACCUGGAGAAGAAGCACCGGCUAACUACGUG
Molecule: ribosomal RNA, 468 nt
Filed under: uncultured bacterium
Lineage: Bacteria
Description: partial 16S ribosomal RNA
Rfam family: Bacterial small subunit ribosomal RNA
Source: RNAcentral